RNAcentral lists this long non-coding RNA (2516 nucleotides) under Taeniopygia guttata (zebra finch). RNAcentral describes it as "lncRNA (ENSTGUG00000029188.1)". The record is from RNAcentral. Lineage: Eukaryota; Metazoa; Chordata; Aves; Passeriformes; Estrildidae.
AAAUAGGUAUCAGAUGAUACAGUCUUUAAGCAGUUGAGAGGACAGAGAAACAUAGCAUUUUCUCUUUAUAGCUGAGGUAUGGAGUCAAUUUGUCUUUGUUGCCAUUAACACAGUGCUGUUUCCCAGGCUUUAACUUCUACUAGGAUGGAAAAAAGUUUCCUGAGUGUCAGGCAGAGGGAUCAGACUCUUCCCAGCAUCAUUCCCAGCAUCAAUCCCCCGCUUCUUGCCUCUUUUUACGCAGAACAAAAAGUGAUUAAAAAUGAGAUGCAAAGCACGCCUCUCCAGGGAUCAAUAAUUGCCCUGCUUGAAAAAUUAGCCAGUUUGGGGUAAUCAGUGCUCUGUGGUGCCCAUGUUAGUUAAGGGAGAUGCACUUAACUCUACAGUUUAAGCAUUUUAUGGAGGCAGAGGAGUUUGCAGUCUGGAAGAUGAGUCCUGACUCCUGCACAGAGUUUGGAACCAAUGGACCUCAUGAGCUGCAGUCUCACUCGGCCCUGUGCUCUCUGCAGUCCUGUUCUGGGUCUGCCAGGCGUGCAGGGGUUGAUUUGCAAUUUAGCCAGUUGCUGACCACCCGGUGGGACCAAACAAGUCUGGAAUUGAUAUUUGGGGGCUACCAGAGCAGGACCCGGGCCUGUGAAAUGUAGGGUAGCCUUGGAGAUAAUUAAAGGACUUCCAGAAGUUCCCCAGGCCCACGGCAACAGUGGUGCUGUUUGGUACAAAUAACUUGGCCCUCAUUGCAGGCAGAUGGGGUCGCAUGAUAAGGGCUGGCCAGUUGCACAUUCAGGCAACCAAAGUGGCUCAGCACUGGCUCCCUCAGUGGUCCUGGACCACUGCUUUCUUACAGCUUUACUCUGCUGUUUGUUUUCAUUCAAGUACAGUGAGCUCUCAGCUCUAAUAGUUUCUAACAGCAGCUUUUCAAAAAGUGGGGACCCCCUCCCUGAAUACAACUAACACCGCGGGGCAGCCACUCAGCUUCAUCCUCCCCGAGAGGAGCUUGGAAAGCCAUAAAACCUGCAAAACAAACGAUGCAGCCAAGUUUACAAAUAUGCAGAUAUUAACAGUGCAAAGGACAUUCGGCAUUGCCUGGAGGGACAUGUAUUUUGGUCCCUUACGUCCUUUCUGAGGGGCGCUGGGGGCAGCUGGGUGUCCGGCACGUCCCGGAGGCCCACCAGAGGUGCCUCCCGUGGAUUUUGGCCACGCCGGGAGCCCCUGGACACCACCGCAGGUGCCAAGUUUCUCACCAUCCUGCCCUUUGCCUCCUGUCUUGCUCUUACCGCGGCGUGGGAUGAGGUGGGAACGGGGCAGCCGUGAGCAGGGGGACUGCCGGCAGCUCCUGGUAAUCACUGCGCUCUGAAGUCCCGCCGGUAACUCUGGUGGGACUGCGAGUUUUACCGGCCGCAGCGCACUGGCGGCCAGGCGGAGGCAUUGACGGCGCACCUUUGUAAUCCUAAUUACGAGCGAGACUGAAGAGAUGUCUCGACUGCUCGGGGCCAGCCGGCGCCUCGCACAAGCCCGUCAUGCAGAAUGCGUUGCCGGGCCAGCACCAGGAGAGUCCCGACGUGGCAGUCGCUCCCGGGGCGUCAGGACGUCCUGUGGCCGCGGCCCCUCCGCGCCCGCCGAAGCCGCGCUGACCGGGACCAGCAGUGCGCGGGGGGCCGGGGAGCCCUGCUCUGCAGGACGGGGGCGAGCAGAGCCUCACCGACUGCUCCGCGAGGUUUUGGCAGGGUUGGAGGGACUGUGGUUCGGCCCGGGACUGCUGUGUCCGGCCGAUCGGAGGAGAAGACGGCAGUCCCGGCGGACGCGGAGCGGCCUCCCCUCUCUGCAGUUGUCAGGCUGAGGGGCUGAGGCCGGCGGAGGUGCCGGAGCUGCCGGGGCGCCCUGCUCCCUGCCCGGGCAAGCUCGCUGACCCGCCUCGGAUGGUCACUUCCAUGGCCAGCAGGGCAGAGCUGGCUGCCGGGGGGCACCGUGUGCGUGCAGAAACACCGUCACUGCCCCUUCUGCGCCAAGCCUCGGAGAGUUAGCGAGAAUUAACUUCGCGCAUUGCAAGCAAAGGAAAAAAAACCCAAAACACUGCGAAAAAAAAAAAAAAAGGGCGGGGGGGAGAAGGGGGAAAGGAGGUAAAAGAGUCGUUAGGAAACGGGCAAUUAAAACCGACAGAGCCACUAAUGAAAGGGAAAAAAAAAAAAAGGGAGCAGAGGGGCUCGGUUGUGCCAGCUUUGCACAGUCAGGGGCCGGCUGCUUCAAGGGCCGUCGCUGCCCAAAGGAGCCUGAACACUAUGCGGGCUCUGCCGGGGGUGCCCAAGACCCGCUGCCGGCGCUAGUACCUCUAACGACAUCAACACUGCGAUUUGUUUUGAAUGUUCAUUUUUAUUGGUGUUCUCCCUUUGCCAAAAUGUGCUUGAUUACAUAGAUGUAGUGCAGUGAUAACUGCGCACCCUAGACAGCCUAGGUGUAACCGGGAAAGUUCAGCCCAGGCCAGAUCAAAUCCCAGGCUGUUUAAUGCUGGAAGGCUGCAUGUU